CGGGUUAAGGAUCCCGAGCAGGCUGCAACUGCCGGUCAGGUUCGACCCCUGGCCCAGGAACUUCUACAUGCUGCGAUUGUGCCCAAGCGCUUUUAAAAGGGCUGUCACUCUGGGCAGUUCUAGCUUCUUCCUUCUCCCAAUCUCCUUCUCCCCGAAGCAUCCACCAGAGGACGCAGCUUCCCCCAAACUUUCCACUCUGCUUGGCUAGAGAAACUCAGUCCACGUUUUCCUGCUACUCCGGGCCCGCAGUUAAAUCACUGCAGCCCCAGACUAAGCUGUCCGUUACCAUGGGAACGGAAAGCCAUGACGUCACCAUUGUCUGGGAAAGUGGACGGCUGCCCCCCGCACGUGUCCGAACUACCACGCCGGCGACCACGCGUGAGCACGCAGAAGGCCCAAACCUCCCACCAUACCCCUCAGAACUUUCCCCGAACUCCUCCUUGCCUCUAUCCCCAAGGAAGUCAAGUCAGUCAAAUAACGAGGCUCAGCCUGUCCCAAACCCGCCGGGGCCCCUCAGAUCACACCCGCACGCUAGAAUCCUGCUCCUGGGCCGCGGUUUCCCUCGGACCCCGCCCCGCUCCUCGGGCCCCGCCCCCCGGCAGCGCGGGCGGGAGGCGGGGCCGGGGGCGCGGCCGCCGG
RNAcentral lists this long non-coding RNA (639 nucleotides) under Sus scrofa (pig). RNAcentral's name for it is "lncRNA (ENSSSCG00055023864.1)". The record is from RNAcentral. Lineage: Eukaryota; Metazoa; Chordata; Mammalia; Artiodactyla; Suidae.